AACGAACGCUGGCGGCAUGCCUAACACAUGCAAGUCGAACGAGACCUUCGGGUCUAGUGGCGCACGGGUGCGUAACGCGUGGGAAUCUGCCCUUGGGUUCGGGAUAACAGUUGGAAACGACUGCUAAUACCGGAUGAUGACUUCGGUCCAAGGAUUUAUCGCCCAGGGAUGAGCCCGCGUCGGAUUAGCUAGUUGGUGAGGUAAGAGCUCACCAAGGCGACGAUCCGUAGCUGGUCUGAGAGGAUGAUCAGCCACACUGGGACUGAGACACGGCCCAGACUCCUACGGGAGGCAGCAGUGGGGAAUAUUGGACAAUGGGCGAAAGCCUGAUCCAGCAAUGCCGCGUGAGUGAUGAAGGCCUUAGGGUUGUAAAGCUCUUUUACCCGGGAUGAUAAUGACAGUACCGGGAGAAUAAGCCCCGGCUAACUCCGUG
Molecule: ribosomal RNA, 433 nt
Filed under: uncultured bacterium
Lineage: Bacteria
Description: partial 16S ribosomal RNA
Rfam family: Bacterial small subunit ribosomal RNA
Source: RNAcentral